RNAcentral lists this ribosomal RNA (497 nucleotides) under uncultured bacterium. Its description in RNAcentral is "partial 16S ribosomal RNA". It matches the Rfam family "Bacterial small subunit ribosomal RNA", at positions 28 to 507 of the family's 1533-position model. The record is from RNAcentral.
GACGAACGCUGGCGGCGUGCCUAAUACAUGCAAGUAGAACGCUGAAGAGAGGAGCUUGCUCUUCUUGGAUGAGUUGCGAACGGGUGAGUAACGCGUAGGUAACCUGCCUGGUAGCGGGGGAUAACUAUUGGAAACGAUAGCUAAUACCGCAUAAAAUUGAUUAUUGCAUGAUAAUUAAUUGAAAGAUGCAACUGCAUCACUACCAGAUGGACCCGCGUUGUAUUAGCUAGUUGGUGAGGUAACGGCUCACCAAGGCGACGAUACAUAGCCGACCUGAGAGGGUGAUCGGCCACACUGGGACUGAGACACGGCCCAGACUCCUACGGGAGGCAGCAGUAGGGAAUCUUCGGCAAUGGGGGGAACCCUGACCGAGCAACGCCGCGUGAGUGAAGAAGGUUUUCGGAUCGUAAAGCUCUGUUGUAAGAGAAGAACGGGUGUGAGAGUGGAAAGUUCACACUGUGACGGUAUCUUACCAGAAAGGGACGGCUAACUACGUG